CUGCCUAAGAGCGGGUUUCAGAGUUAUUGUAAAUGCUUAAUGCUGUUAUAAUUGCAAGGACCGAGCCAAGACGACAGGGACUAUGCAGAUUUAUUUGCAUAUACUGUUGCACUUUGAGAAGGGGCGUGCUCUUUAUUUUGAUCCAGUUAACGCGAUUCUUCCCUCACAAAGCUGUGGAUACCUGCCAGCCACCAUUUAUCUCCACUCUUCAUUAGGAUUUCUGGGCGUUACAAUCGUAUAAAUAAGUAACAGAAGAAAGGCAAGAAUAUCCUGGGGAAAAGUGCUUUAUUGCGCUGGCUCCCAGGGAACGCGGCCACGGGCGGGUCGGACCCGCUCCGCCACCAGACCCCGCCACCUCCGGCAGUUAAGCCGGACUCUAACACCGGCCUCUGACCCGGGCCCAGCGGAGCCCCGCGCUCCCUCGGAAAUUCUGCCAUUCUCUCGGACGAGCCCAGGCUGUAAUAUUCUUAGGUCUGAACAGCGCUGAGCCUUUCAGGUGAGCUGCCAAAACAACAUGAUGCAACACGGGCCGCGCUGUUACACCCGCUCCCGUCCCGCUGCGCCUCCGCUCCCUCCGGAGACCGUAAUUGACUGAUCAGCUCCCUGCGACGAGGCUCAAUAACAGGAUGUGCAACACAUCUCUAAAAAUUGCAUCAACCGCGACCCCAGCGGAGCUUGUCCUUGUGCUGUGUGCUUUGCCGGGACUGCAAUAGUUCUGUUAUGUGAACUCAUGUCUGCUGAAGAACAUGAGAACUGCACCAUCCUUUAGCUCCAUUAUGAAACGUUUCAUUAUUUUUAUUACUGGCUGCUAAAAUGAUGACCUUCUUAUUAAAGAUGUUACCUUCUUAUCAAA
Columba livia (rock pigeon) is the source of this 853-nucleotide long non-coding RNA. RefSeq lists it as uncharacterized. The transcript is spliced from 2 exons. The record is from RefSeq and is a predicted model, not a curated record. NCBI's taxonomy places the organism in Eukaryota, Metazoa, Chordata, Aves, Columbiformes, Columbidae.